Eriocheir sinensis (Chinese mitten crab) is the source of this 658-nucleotide long non-coding RNA. RefSeq lists it as uncharacterized. The transcript is spliced from 5 exons. NCBI's taxonomy places the organism in Eukaryota, Metazoa, Arthropoda, Malacostraca, Decapoda, Varunidae. The record is from RefSeq and is a predicted model, not a curated record.
CUUUGUUUACAAACAGAGGGUGGAUGAGCUAUGAUACGGUACCGUGUCUUUUGUUGACUGCCUAUCAUGAAACGUCCCACCUAAAUUUAUUCUUUAUCUUUUUAAAGUGAUCAAUUAGAUGACCUACACCCUUUAUAUGUCAGUAAAUGUGAUAAAUAAGGUAACCUACACCCCUUGUAUGUCAGUAAAUGUGAUAAAUGAGACAACCUACACCCCUUGUAUGUCAGUAAAUGUGAUAAAUGAGGUAACCUACACCCCUUGUAUAUCAGUAAAUGUGAUAAAUGAGGUAACCUACACCCCUUGUAUGUCAGUAAAUGUGAUAAAUGAGGUAACCUACACCCCUUGUAUGUCAGUAAAUGUGAUAAAUGAGGUAACCUACACCCCUUGUAUGUCAGUAAAUGUGAUAAAUGAGGUAACCUACACCCCUUGUAUGUCAGUAAAUGUGAUAAAUGAGACAACCUACACCCCUUGUAUGUCAGUAAAUGUGAUAAAUGAGACAACCUACACCCCUUGUAUGUCAGUAAAUGUGAUAAAUGAGACAACCUACACCCCUUGUAUGUCAGUAAAUGUGAUAAAUGAGACAACCUACACCCCUUGUAUGUCAGUAAAUGUGAUAAAUGAGGUAACCUACACCCCUUGUAUGUCAGUAAAUGUGAUA